Molecule: ribosomal RNA, 621 nt
Filed under: beta proteobacterium KIT2TW2
Lineage: Bacteria; Pseudomonadati; Pseudomonadota; Betaproteobacteria
Description: bacterial SSU rRNA
Rfam family: Bacterial small subunit ribosomal RNA
Source: RNAcentral
AGAUUGAACGCUGGCGGCAUGCCUUACACAUGCAAGUCGAACGGCAGCACGGAGCUUGCUCUGGUGGCGAGUGGCGAACGGGUGAGUAAUAUAUCGGAACGUACCCUAGAGUGGGGGAUAACGUAGCGAAAGUUACGCUAAUACCGCAUACGAUCUAAGGAUGAAAGUGGGGGAUCGCAAGACCUCAUGCUCGUGGAGCGGCCGAUAUCUGAUUAGCUAGUUGGUAGGGUAAAAGCCUACCAAGGCAUCGAUCAGUAGCUGGUCUGAGAGGACGACCAGCCACACUGGAACUGAGACACGGUCCAGACUCCUACGGGAGGCAGCAGUGGGGAAUUUUGGACAAUGGGCGAAAGCCUGAUCCAGCAAUGCCGCGUGAGUGAAGAAGGCCUUCGGGUUGUAAAGCUCUUUUGUCAGGGAAGAAACGGUGAGAGCUAAUAUCUUUUGCUAAUGACGGUACCUGAAGAAUAAGCACCGGCUAACUACGUGCCAGCAGCCGCGGUAAUACGUAGGGUGCAAGCGUUAAUCGGAAUUACUGGGCGUAAAGCGUGCGCAGGCGGUUUUGUAAGUCUGAUGUGAAAUCCCCGGGCUCAACCUGGGAAUUGCAUUGGAGACUGCAAGGCU